Vicia villosa (hairy vetch) is the source of this 2884-nucleotide RNA transcript. It is a transcript of the gene named retinoblastoma-related protein-like, with no coding region annotated. NCBI's taxonomy places the organism in Eukaryota, Viridiplantae, Streptophyta, Magnoliopsida, Fabales, Fabaceae. The transcript is spliced from 7 exons. The record is from RefSeq and is a predicted model, not a curated record.
AAUUUUAUUUAGGUAUAGAUUAAAAAAAGAGGGAAAAAAAAGGAAAACGUGAAUACAAUCGUUUCCACAUUCCACAUUCCGUUUCUAACCUAAUUUCCUCCCCUGCUCCUCAAUCGCCGCAGAAGAAGAACAACACCAACAAUCGGAGGCACCACCCUAGAAAUUCUCCACAACAACAAAUCUUCCUUCGAACCCAUCGUCUCCGAUAUCCUCUCCAUCAAAACAGAUGCUAAACCAAAACAACUCCUUCACGAUCUCGUCACUCAAAUGUUCCUUCACUUCAUCACUCUCCGCCAGAUUUGAUUCCUUUGUUGAGGUACCAACAAAAGCUUCCCGUUGUCGAUUAUUUGUGCUAACAGGGAUUGGAAAAUAGGUCAAGCUUUUGGAUGUUGAUAUCAGAGUUAUUAAUCCCGGCCGCUCCGGCCGCUAUCCCGGCGCUCCGUAGCGGAGCAGCACCCUGCCGCGCGAUAUGAAGGGUGCGGAGCAGGAGAUGAGAAAGCGGCCGCUUCAGCCGCUAUACCGGGUCCCGAGUCGUGGAAAAUUCCCGGGCGGAGCGGCUCCGGUUCUUUUUUACCUUUUUUUUACAAUUUUCUGGGCAAAAUUAACAAAACACCCCUGUGCAAGAGAGAGGUUGAAGAAGAAGUGAAAUCUGAUUCGUAGAGAGAGUGAGAGUGAGUGAGAGAGGUUGAAGAAGAGUGAAUUAGGGUUUCCCAAGAUAUGAUUCAUAGACUGAGAAUGAGAGAGAGACGCAAAGCGAGAGAGAGGUUGAAGAAGUGAAUUAGGGUUGAUUGGUUGAAGAAGUGAGAUCUGUGCCGCCGUGGAGUUAGAGAUAAUUAGGUUAACAUACUGUAUAUGUUUUUGACGGGUAGUGGUAGUGUACUAACUAAGUAUCAAUCUUAUUAUAUAUUUAUUCAAAAAAAUCAUAUCUUAUAUUAUUUCCUAUUUUUUAUAACUAAUUUUGUAUCUAUCUAUUAUCUUAAGAAAAUAUAUAAACAAAUUAUAUAUUUUUUGAGUCUAUUUAUUAAAAUUAAAUUUAAUUUGAAUCUUAUGUUUUGAAUCUUAAUUAAGCAUUAUUCUUUGUUUCACAUUAUAUUUUAUGAGUGGUUUAUAGAUUAUUAUAUAAUUAUUAGUAUACAAAAAUUUAUCCCGCUAUCCGGGAUGCCGCUAUUCCCACUAUUCCCAUUCCCGGAGGUUGGCCGCUCCGCUCCGCUAUCCGGGAUUAACAACUCUGGUUGAUAUUAAUUAUUAAAAGAUAUUUCUUCUUUUUUAUGUAUAUUUGUGAGUAUGUUGGGUUUGGUUCUUCAAUAGUAUGAUUCUAUUUGCAACUCGGCUAAAUCAAAAUAUUAGACCUAUUUGAUUGAAGAACCAGAUUUAUUACUAAACAUGCUAGGAAAACUAAUAUUUUAUUUACUUUUUUAGGAUGAUACAAUUACAAAGAAGAAUGACAAAGAACCGGAGCUGCAUAAAGAGAGAUUCAAAAAUAAGAAACAUGAAAAACAAGUUUAUGUUUCAUUGCCGCCUCCUCCACCACCGAUAAUCGUGGUCAUAUUGAUCAUUCUGCUAGAGUCAUGAAAGUGAUAACAUGGAAUAGGUCCUUCAAGGGUGUGUCAAACGGAGAGGGUGCUAAAGAUGAUUUUGAUUCGGAAGAGUAUGAGAUACAUGCCACUGUUUUGGACAAGUUGUUAGCUUGGGAAAAGAAACUCUAUGAAAAGGUCAAGGUAGUUGUCAUCUUCCAAUUUUGUCAUUCAAAGUAGUUCCAGUUCUGAACAAGCAGAAGAAGCAUGGUGCUAGUGUUGAUUCUUUAGGAAAAACUAAAGUGGAUGUAAGUCAUUUACACACGAGAUAUAUUGUUGUAAUUUGUAAGUUGAGUUUAUUUUAAGUUGUAUUAUUUUUUUCACAUGUGAGCUAUUCACUUGUAAUUGUAUUUUAUGAAUGCAUGUGCUUUUGAUUUUGGUUGGCUUUAUGUGAUUGGUACAAUUAGUUUAAUGCUUAGAUAGAGUUAAUAAAAUUGAGUUCAUUAUAAGCAAUGGAGCUUAAGGGAGGUCAUAUGAUGAGUGGUUCCCUGUAGUAGGAGUAUAUGCCCUGUUUUUUGUCUCACAUUGAUAUGCCCUGUUGAUCCGAUGGAUUCGUUCAUCGAUGUUCAUGAGUUCACUAUAUGGAAUCUUCAACAGGCUCAUAGAGAGUUGACUAUGUUUGGACUUUCUUAUUUAGUUCAUGAUGCUUUUUAAUUGAGCUAAUGAUUUUGUAUAUUGUUAAAUUUUUUUUGUUUACUAUUGUUUUCCAACUUUCUGCACCCAGCUGAUAGUAAUAAUACAAAGCUUCAACAAUGGUUGUGCAAGGAGAAAGUCAGGUAUACUUCUCCUUUUUACAUGUUAUACUUUUUUAUGGAGCAGCAAAAAGUUUAUAAAACUCAAUCUGGACUGUUGCAGACCAAGUGUUCGAGAGCAGGGGCGGCCAUUGAAUAUGUUGUGUUACAUUUAAAGAAUGAGCUAGCAUUGGAUGAGAAAAGCUGUAAGGAAACAAUGGAUCCGUUUGGAGAAACCAAACAUCUUCUUGUGGCUAAUGUUUCGUCAAUGGGAAAUGAGACUGUACACAUUGAAGAAACGGAACGGUACUGGUUUGCUUUUAUCCUAUACUCUAUCAAGAAACUUACUCAGAAAAACGAGGAGAGUGGGAAGGAAGAGAUUGAGAAUACCGGUCUUACCUUGUGCCGAAUAUUGCUUUUCUGACCUUUAUCUAAAAUUACUACAUCCAUGUCCUGUGAAUUGUACUGAUAUCUCAUGCAUUUUUCCCAAUUAAUUGGUACUGAAAUAAGUUUUAGUGAUUGGAAUUUGAAAAUAAAAAUUGGGCAAGAACUUAAAUUAUUUUAGUGAUGGUUAUUUUA